GGUACCUGGCAGAAACAAGAGAUAAAGACUUAUUUUGACUCAUAGUUGUAGAGGGUUUUAGGCCAUCAAGGCAGGGAAGACCUAGUGGGCCAACUCAGUCCAUGGCAGCCAGAACAUGUUGUGGGUAAUUUUAUAACACGCUUACUCUUUCUUGGGAGCUCUCCCCGAGAUCCCGGCUAUGCUCGGAGAACAGCUGCGGCCAUGUUGCCAGCUGGCGUUUCCCGAGAGUUCCGACAGUUCCUUUCCUUUGGCUUUACUAAGCUGCCAACAACUGUUCUUCCCGGAAGCCCCACAGGUUCUAGUUGGCCUUACAUGGCGCCUGUCCUCCUCUCUGAAAAGCCUGGCUGGAGGUGGAGGACGGGGGUGACCUCCCCUUCCUCCUGGGACCCGGAAAUCCCACCUCUGUAUCUUCGACCAGCGAUUGGCUUCUGCCAUCUUUAUUGACAUACCGGCUCCUCCCCGUACACGACUGCAUAGCAGAGAAUAGUCACACCUGAGAAGCAGAAGGUGCCAAGAACCAUGAGCCAUAAAUGGCUGGGGCACCUCCUAGUGACUGAUUCCUGCUCCAUAGCCCACCUCUGAAAGAUCCUUCAUGCUCCCGAGGAGAGCAGCACUAGCUGGAGACCAGAACUCACAGGACAAGCCUGUGGGAAUGUCACAUUCAAAUCUCACCUGCAUAGCUUUCUCUUUGCUUACUGACCCAGCUAGGAAUUCAAACACUGUGGCCAGGUGGAGGUGGUGCUGCUAUGCCUUCAGUCCCAGCACUUGGAAGGCAGAGGCAGGCAGAUCUCUGUGAGUUCAAGGCCAGCCUGCUCCAUAGUGGGAGUUUCAGGACAGGCAAAUCUACACAGAGACACCCAGUCUUUCUAAAAACCAAACAAACAAAAGAAUUCAAUGACUGCAUUGAAUUAGAGUAGGGUCUUGAAUUUAGAGGAGGUGCUUUGUUUUCUCCAGUGUGUGGGUUAGCCACUAGGCUUGUCAUAAUUGCCUUUAUUAUGCUCAAGUCUGGCACUCCCGGCCUGCAUUCUGAAGAGCUUUUGUCAUGAAGGGCGCUGAAUUUUGUCAGCUUGCUUUCUUCUGAUGAGACAUUCAUCAAGGACAUGUUGCCUUUGUCGUUGGAUCGUUAACCAGGAGCAAGGCAACACUAGAUGAGCAUCCUGGGUCUCCUCUGUCUUGUGGGCCGUGAAUUCCGUUUAACAGGCUGAAUUUACAGAAUCCUGUACAGUGACCUGAAGUUCAGAAGUCUCCUGCAGCAUUCUCUUUUUGGUGUUCAAUUGUGUUAAAUCCUUGUCUCCUCCUUUUGGUUAGUUUGGCUGAGAGUUUGGGAACCUUAUCCUUUAAAGGUUUAGCAAAAUUUCACAAACAGAAUCUCAGUUACUUGGCGAAUUCAGUUAGUUCCCAAUAGGACAUGCUUGUGAUAAGUGUACUUUACAAAAUAUAGAAAAAUUUUCAGGAAUAUAAUCUAAAUUUCUUGGCAAAUUCAGUUAGUUCCCAAUAGGACGUGCUUGUAAUAACUCUCCUUUUCAAGAUAUAGCAACAUUUUCAUGAACAGACUUGUAAUAAGUGUACUUUUCAAGAUAUAGCAAAAUGUUCACUAGUGGAAUCUCAGGAUCUUGGCAAAUUCCGUUAGUUCCCAAUAGUACAAGCUUGUAAUAAGUGUAGUUUUCAAUAUAUAGUAACAUCUUCACUAGUUUAAUCUCAGUAUUUUGGUGAAUUCAGUUAGUUCCCAAUAGGAUGCACUUGUAAUAAAUAGAAAGGCAGUUCUGUGGCUGCCGUCCUGUACUCUCUGAACUCACUUUACUCUCUGAACUGUUCUUUCAAUUUAUCAGUCUUGGGUUUGACUUACUCUUACUUUAAGAUGUUGGGGUACUUAAUUUGCUUAUUUCAUCUAAAUCUAUGGAUUUUCUAUGUUUCUUUACAUUCGCGUGUGUGUGUGACACAAGUGGAGGUCAGAGGACAACUUUCAGGGGUUGGUUCUCUCCUUCCACCAUGUGGGUUCCGGGGCUCCAACUCAGGUCAUCAGGCUUAAUGUCACGUGCCACUAUCCAUUGAGCACUGAGCCAGCUGACCAACUCCACUCUGGUUUUUUGUUUGUUUGUUUGUUUGUUUUUGGUGUUUUUUUUUUGUUUUUUUUUUUUGUUUUUUUUUUUUUUUGAGACCAGGUUUCUCUGUGUAACCUUGGCUGUCCUAGAACUCCUUCUGUAGACCAAGCUGGCCUCGAACUCUGCUGGCCUCGAAAUCUGCCUGCCUCUGCCUUCUGAAUGCUGGGAUUAAAGGUGUGUGCCACCACUACCUGGCUUCCUCUCUGACUUUUCAGUGUAGAGCUUUGAUAGCUGUUGUGUGACUUCUCCUGAAGACAUGCGGAUUGCUUUAGUUCAUGCUCAAAAUGCAGUGGGAACUCUGUAAAGGAUCACAUCGCUGGGUGAUAACAAGCUCAUGUGAACGGCAGUGACUUAGUCUGUUGCAGGCCUCGGGUCCUGCUGAUAGUCUGCUCUGUAACCUGACAUGGUCUGCACAGCUUCGGGAUUCUUAAACUGUGCCAUACUCUGACAUGGAAAGGCUGUUUUCUGGCCGCAGGGUCUUCUUAGGGGGACGGGUCUUGGAAAUCCCGCUGUGACAUCACUGAAUGUACUGUGCCAUCACCGGUAUAGCUCAUUCUCAAGCAGGAAGCCCCUCUCAAGAUUGCCCUGGGCUGUAGCACUCCAAAAUGUGGAAGCAGACUAAUGGACCGAUGCUUCUCCAUUUUAUGCGUCUUCGUUUCUUUUCAACGCUACACGUGCGUAGGUUUGCUGCCUUCAUCUGGCGCACGCAGUCUUGAGUGUUGUGGCCAUGGGUCGUGUGCUCUCCUACUGAUGUUGGGAUGUAAUGCUUCCUUAAUGUCUUCAGUCCUUGCUGUUCUUCCUGCUAGCAUUGCUUGCUCUCUCUGAGGCCUACAUCCAGGAGCCACCCCAGC
Molecule: non-coding RNA, 2953 nt
Organism: Rattus norvegicus (Norway rat)
Lineage: Eukaryota; Metazoa; Chordata; Mammalia; Rodentia; Muridae
Source: RefSeq, a predicted model, not a curated record